CAGGGUAGGGUAGUAAAUAUAUUUUAAUAAAUAUAACCCGUGAUUUGGUGAAAAAUGUGUCUGUUAAAUAUGCUUGGAUCUCAACCCAAAAGCUAGCUCAAAGGGUGAGGUUGCCUUCACAUAUUUAUACACUUCACAUCCCGGGAACCUAAGCAAUGUGGGACUUCAAACAAUCUCCAACAACAUAACUUCACAUUCAACAGUGUCAACGUUCAUUAUAGGUCAUGUGAAUAUGAGCUGAAUUGACUUUAAUGACCAAACAUAAAACUCCCUUCACAUAUGAGAUAGGAUCGUCACUUUCACCAACCCAAUCCCAACUAUAUGCAAUUUAUUAGGAGUAUAUCCAUUUCACUUGCAACUUGCACUAUGUUAGCAAUAUCUUCUUCUACUUUUUAAGUACUACAUGUAUACUAUAGAAGGAUUUGGAUUUACUAUUGUCAAAAAUAAUGAUGUAGUUUUAUGCGGUAAUCAUUUGAAACCGUUGAUUUAAGAUUAAAUGGUUCGACCGUUGAUUAGAAAUUGAACGGUUAAGAUUAGUUAUGGUAGCAAAUCUGAUCCUACUAUAGAUUAUAUAGACCAAAUAGAUUAAUUGCUGAAGUAAUUUUUUUUAGGAGAAUGUUAACUUGUGCCUUUAAGGGCACAAAUUUAUUGAACAUGUAGUGUAUUCAAUUAUCUAAACAUUAAAUUUUUUGUAUCAUUAAAUGCUAUAUUUCUAUUUUUAGGUAGCUUAACAUGUGCGCUUAGGACACAAGUUAACAUGACCCUUUUUUUCAUACAUAUAUCUAAUAAUUAAAAUUACAUUAUAGUAUUGCUUUUAUAAAUUUGUUAUUAAAACAUAGUAUAUCCAAAUAUUUACAUGUUAAGGGUUGGGUUGUGUUGGUAGGUGUUAAGGGUGAUUUUUAUUUAAUCUUUUGUGCUUUCCUCUCCAUCUAACUUUUUAGUUAGAUUUUAUCAAUAAAGUUUAAUUAUCGAAAAAAAAAGUAUUUUAUAAUUAUUUAGAAAAAAUUGUUAUAGAUGAUAAAUUGUCAAUUCCUAAUGACACGUGGAAAAGGCAGUCACCCAAUACCAAAANNNNNUAUAAUAUUGAUAUAUUAUGAAUAUUAUUUAUUAUGCAUGGUGGUACGUUGUACAUAUAAUAAUAAUUAUCAUGAAGGUGACAGAGCUAGAAAAGGAUCACAAUUAAUUAGGGAACCAUGCAUGUGGCUCACGGAAAUUUUUUUUUAUAAUAAAAUGUGGACUACAAAUAUUGAUUAAUUAAUGUAAUAAGCCACAUAUAGAUAUCACUAAAAUGAAUUGCAACAAUAGAAAUUACUAGCUAGUAUUUUAUGUAAAAGUAAAUAUAUUACCUGAGUGAAGAAUUCUCGUAGAGUAAGAAGUUUAAUUGUUUUGAAGAACAUUCUAAGGAGACGAAAGUAACUAAGAGACAUUGAUUGCAAAAUUUGUUGACGUUUGUAACUAAGAGACAUUUCUUUUCUACCAAAAUUUACUUCUCCAAUUCGGCGCAAGGCUUUUUUUGAAUCAAACUAUGAAAUCAAAUUUGAGAUAAUAGAAAUUCACUAUAUACAAGAUUAUGAAACCCAACGUUCUUUCAAUUUUCAACUUAAUUGCAUAAAUACUCUUAAAAGAUUAAGCCUUUUUAUGGUGGAGUAUUGUUUCCUCAUUCUUUAAUCAUGAUUCUCUAAAAUACGAUUAAUGGAAAGAUUAAUUUGACAAUGAACCAAAGAGCUUUCUGUAAAACAAUAGUUUUCCUUCUUGUUUGCUUCAAAAAUUACCCCUAUGUUUUGUUGAAUCCAUAUUUUGAUUUUAUGAAAAUCAAUAGUAAGUUACAAAAAAAACUAUUUGAAUGAGAGGCUGCAAGUGACGCAAUCAUGGAUGGU
Molecule: long non-coding RNA, 1877 nt
Filed under: Trifolium pratense (red clover)
Lineage: Eukaryota; Viridiplantae; Streptophyta; Magnoliopsida; Fabales; Fabaceae
Description: long non-coding RNA (TPRA_LNC011777)
Source: RNAcentral